This 1595-nucleotide long non-coding RNA is filed under the name Nasonia vitripennis (jewel wasp). RNAcentral's name for it is "uncharacterized LOC107981545". Lineage: Eukaryota; Metazoa; Arthropoda; Insecta; Hymenoptera; Pteromalidae. The record is from RNAcentral.
UUGAAGGUGGCCGCAUUUUGUAUAUAUGUUAGGAAUCAGGCCCAAAAUAGGACCGUCAGCGUACUAUUAUGAGACGAGUUCCCAAAAAAAUUUUGAGCCCGAUUAACUAAAGUCUUUCAGAGAUAAUCGCAUCACAACAAAAUUUUUAUUCAAAAACACGUAAAAAUCGAACAAAUUGUGCCCGCAUUUUAAAACGACGUAGAGGAUCGGGAUAAAAAAAAUUGUUUUUCAGUUUAUGCGAGGGGAGAGUUCUCCUAAAAUUGCAGCCUGAUCGAUCGAAAAUUGCGUGAGAUAUCGCAUCUCACACAUUUUUCGCGCACGAAACUAUAAGGCUACAGCGUGUCAUCGGGCUACUCAGCCUCGCUGCUGUACGGAGUCAGCUCUGCAAGCCUCACGCGCUGUCGGCGUCGAGAACUGAAUCUAUGCAGGCGCUUUUUCCGUGAAUAAUGAAUCCGCGAUGUUCUCUGUGCACAUACACAAUAUAAAAGGGCCUGCUUAAUAACGGUCGCAGCUCUGCUAUCGAGCAGCGCACAUGUGUAAACGAAAACUGUACGAUGAAUUCGCUCUCCUCUUACUCUCUUUUUCUCUCGACGUCUGUAUCCCCUACACUCACGCAAAUAAUAGUAAUCUUCAAUAAUUUAAAUAUUUACCUUCUCCAACAACUCUCUAUCCAAAAGCACUUCCUCUACGUUGCGACAAUUCGUUGCGAUUGUCUCGGCGACGAGGUUGAACUUGGACGUGUUUGGGCUAUAGACAUUUUUUACUAAUUAAUGUCAAUAUCUCACUACUCAAUAUCACUCGUUUGAAGUUAAAAAAAAUUGUUGAAAGAAUAAAUAUUUUAACGAAAUGAAAACUAAAGAACUCUUCAAAACGUCUUGACGAUUCGACGAUUCGAAAAGAAGUGACAGUUUUUGUUUACGUGUUAAUACACGCAGUCUUUUCCAAGCCGAAUUCGCGGAAACCCUUUGGUAGGUAAGAAAGACUAUCGGAGGAGGUGGGGUGGUGGGGCGAUGCGGCGCCGGCAGUGUAGCACACGUGGGUUUUGACAGUAUAGACACUAUUUGGCUAUACUUAUCAGCGAACACGUUCCCACUUUUCCGCUGUGUCAGUACUCGGUAGUCAACGCUCAGUGCUAGUCGCAGCUUGUUUUGUGCGAGCCUUAUUUUCUCAGCACUAGAAGAAAAGUGAGCAUGAACCGCAGAGGCUUCGUACCUCGUGGCCGUUUUCGAGGGAGAAACCGAGGACGCGGUGGUCGGGCGGCGUCUCGUUCAGUUGGAGAUUACGCACGAUACCGCCCUUAUUGCUAUAAUAUUGGGAUUUGGAUAUUGGGAUUUGGAUUGGAUUGUUAAGGAUCCUCGUACCUCGGCGUUCCCAUUAUUAGUGAAUCCUGUGCAUCAACAUGAGGCUGAAAGGAACGCCAAUGUUGCUCAAAAUCAGCAGGCUGACGAUGCACAAGAUCAGAAUGCCCAGGAGGAAGUAAACAUUGGUGCUGAUAAUGCAGCAAAUGGAAAUGCUCGAGAUGCAGCAAAUAAAAAGGCUCCAGAUCAAGAAUUGCCUCCACCGAAGCCUUUUACAUGGGAUUAUCUAAAAGAAGU